GGGUGAGCGAGGAAGAUUUGGGUUUAGAGGUAGGAGUGAAUGUAGGGGGCUUAGUUCUUGUAUGUUAGGUGAAGCGGUGAAAUGUGAUAACUUUAUGUUGGGGAGAUAGGUCUCUUGGUGAUUUGAUUUACUUUAAGAUCGGGAUGUUGACCAGGAUUAGAUACCCUGUUAUACCUUUGGUAAUUAUUAGUGCCUGGAGUAGUAAAUAGAUAUAGGCUCGAAACUUAAAGAAUUUGGCGGUAUUUAAGUCUAGUUAGAGGAACCUGUGCUGUAAACGAUAAACCACGAAUAUCUUACUUUGUCUGGGUGAGGCAGUACGUAUACCGCCAUUGCUGUCGAUAAUUUUUGAAGGGGUUUGUUGAGAUAGAUUUCGGAUCUAGUAUAUUAGGUCAAGGUGCGGCUAAUGAUAAAGUAGACAUGGGUUACAUUAAUAUUAGUGAGUGCGGAUGGACCUGGUAAGUUGGGUCUUGUAAGGUGGAUUUAAUAGUAAAGGGGGUAGAUUAGGCCUUUUUGAUAGUAGCUCUUAGAUAUGCACACAUCGCCCGUCGUUCUCGCUUU
This 558-nucleotide ribosomal RNA is filed under the name Leptalpheus denticulatus. RNAcentral's name for it is "partial small subunit ribosomal RNA". The stretch from base 196 to 558 matches the Rfam family "Microsporidia small subunit ribosomal RNA", at positions 751 to 1211 of the family's 1311-position model. Lineage: Eukaryota; Metazoa; Arthropoda; Malacostraca; Decapoda; Alpheidae. The record is from RNAcentral.